RNAcentral lists this long non-coding RNA (211 nucleotides) under Mytilus galloprovincialis (Mediterranean mussel). Lineage: Eukaryota; Metazoa; Mollusca; Bivalvia; Mytilida; Mytilidae. The record is from RNAcentral.
GAAAUUCUGAAAAUGAAGAGACUAUUCCUAAUACAUGUAGAGAAUAUCAAUGCACCUGUUACUAGUGCCACUGCUCGUAUUUUUCGUGUCUACUAGAAAAACAACACUGAACCUAAAUCCACAGACAUCUGCUUUGGUUGCCAGACGAUAGGUCACUGGAGACGAAAAGUUCAAAGUUCAAAGUUUAACAACCCAAAUAGUUGCGGACGAC